RNAcentral lists this small nucleolar RNA (195 nucleotides) under Procavia capensis (Cape rock hyrax). RNAcentral describes it as "Small nucleolar RNA U3 (ENSPCAG00000020621.1)". It matches the Rfam family "Small nucleolar RNA U3". From Rfam's summary of the family: Small nucleolar RNAs (snoRNAs) are involved in the processing and modification of rRNA in the nucleolus. There are two main classes of snoRNAs: the box C/D class, and the box H/ACA class. The record is from RNAcentral. Lineage: Eukaryota; Metazoa; Chordata; Mammalia; Hyracoidea; Procaviidae.
GGAUCAUUCUAUAGUUCAUAACUAGAGAAGCUCUCUGAUCAUGUAGAGCACCAAAACACGAGGAGGAGGCGCAGCGUUCUCUCCUGAGCGUGAAGCCGGCACUUGGUGUUGCUUUAUGUAACUGCCGCUUGCCACUGAUGAUCGUUCUUCUCUUCUUUGUGGAGGGAGAAAGAGGGAAGAAGGCCAUCUGAGUGG